This is an unclassified non-coding RNA of Papio anubis (olive baboon), 147 nucleotides long. It matches the Rfam family "Metazoan signal recognition particle RNA". Rfam says of the family: The signal recognition particle (SRP) is a universally conserved ribonucleoprotein. Lineage: Eukaryota; Metazoa; Chordata; Mammalia; Primates; Cercopithecidae. The record is from Ensembl.
GCCAGGUUUGGUGGUGUGCACCUGUAGUCCCAGCUACUCAGGAGGCUGAGGUGGAGGAUCUCUUGAGCCCAGGAGGUCAGGGCUGCAGUGAGCCAUGAUUGUGCCACUGCACUCCAGCCUGGGCAAGAGAGCGAGACCCUAUCUCAA